UGCUUUUGGGAGCCUCAGAUAACAGAAGCCA
Molecule: non-coding RNA, 31 nt
Filed under: Mus musculus (house mouse)
Lineage: Eukaryota; Metazoa; Chordata; Mammalia; Rodentia; Muridae
Source: RNAcentral